RNAcentral lists this ribosomal RNA (301 nucleotides) under uncultured bacterium. Its description in RNAcentral is "partial 16S ribosomal RNA". It matches the Rfam family "Bacterial small subunit ribosomal RNA", at positions 509 to 809 of the family's 1533-position model. The record is from RNAcentral.
CAGUCGCCGCGGUAAUACGAAGGGUGCAAGCGUUACUCGGAAUUACUGGGCGUAAAGCGUGCGUAGGUGGUGGUUUAAGUCCGUUGUGAAAGCCCUGGGCUCAACCUGGGAAUUGCAGUGGACACUGGAUCACUAGUGUGUGGUAGAGGAUAGUGGAAUUUCCGGUGUAGCAGUGAAAUGCGUAGAGAUCGGAAGGAACAUCUGUGGCGAAGGCGACUAUCUGGGCCAACACUGACACUGAGGCACGAAAGCGUGGGGAGCAAACAGGAUUAGAUACCCCAGUAGUCCCUGUCUCUUAUAA